This 24-nucleotide non-coding RNA is filed under the name Arabidopsis thaliana (thale cress). The record is from RNAcentral. Lineage: Eukaryota; Viridiplantae; Streptophyta; Magnoliopsida; Brassicales; Brassicaceae.
CCUAACGAUUCUGCUCAUUCUCCU